RNAcentral lists this unclassified non-coding RNA (253 nucleotides) under uncultured Legionellaceae bacterium. Its description in RNAcentral is "contains 16S-23S intergenic spacer region". It matches the Rfam family "Bacterial small subunit ribosomal RNA", at positions 524 to 776 of the family's 1533-position model. The record is from RNAcentral. Lineage: Bacteria; Pseudomonadati; Pseudomonadota; Gammaproteobacteria; Legionellales; Legionellaceae.
UACGGAGGGUGCGAGCGUUAAUCGGAAUUACUGGGCGUAAAGGGUGCGUAGGUUGUUAUUCAAGUUAUAUGCUAAAGACCCGGGCUUAACCUGGGGGUUGCGUAUAAAACUGAUUGACUAGAGUACAGCAGAGGGUAUGGGAAUUUCCGGUGUAGCGGUGAAAUGCGUAGAGAUCGGGAGGAACACUAGUGGCGAAGGCGCAUACCUGGGCUGAUACUGACACUGAGGCACGAAAGCGUGGGUAGCGAACAGG